UGUGAACUGCAGGACACAUGAACAUCGACAUUUCGAACGCACAUUGCGGUCCACGGAUCUCGUUCCCGGACCACGCCUGGCUGAGGGUCGUUUAUAAAAACGAACCCGACUGCUCACUCGCAAGAGAGAGCGUUGAUCUGGGCGCUCGUGUCUCUCUGUCUGUCUGUCUGUUGUUGUAUCCUCUCUUCGAGAGUGUAGCAGCAGCAGCAGCAGUCAAGACGACACGUCGCCUCAAACGAAACGCAAGAAAAAUGAUGAAUUCGUUCGUCUAGCUGGCGCGCGCGCUUACCGCUUGGAGAGUACUCGUUCGUCGAGUACUUCCGAUCGUUCUGCGUCGAGUCCCGGAGCUUCUCGCCUCGUCGAGCAGCGGACCGACGUCUAGCACACGAUCAGGCUCGUCCAUGAUUCGGUCAUUGAACGCGCGCGCGCCCCUCUUAAUCGACGGCCGGCUAGCUCGAAAUUUGUGAAUGAAUCUUUUUUCUCGAUCGACGACCUCAGAGCAGGCAAGAC
This 510-nucleotide unclassified non-coding RNA is filed under the name Trichogramma dendrolimi. Its description in RNAcentral is "internal transcribed spcacer 2". The stretch from base 1 to 90 matches the Rfam family "5.8S ribosomal RNA", at positions 66 to 154 of the family's 154-position model. Lineage: Eukaryota; Metazoa; Arthropoda; Insecta; Hymenoptera; Trichogrammatidae. The record is from RNAcentral.